AUUUCUGCAUUUAUAUAGUUUAAAAAAAUAUUACAUUUUCAUUGUAAAGUUAAAUAUACUAUAUUUUAUA
This 70-nucleotide transfer RNA is filed under the name Metriorrhynchus inaequalis. Its description in RNAcentral is "tRNA-Glu". Lineage: Eukaryota; Metazoa; Arthropoda; Insecta; Coleoptera; Lycidae. The record is from RNAcentral.